CCGCCUACGGGAGGCAGCAGUGGGGGAUAUUGCAAAAUGGGGGAAACCCUGAUGCAGCGACGCCGCGUGAGCGAUGAAGUAUUUCGGUAUGUAAAGCUCUAUCAGCAGGGAAGAAAAUGACGGUACCUGACUAAGAAGCCCCGGCUAACUACGUGCCAGCAGCCGCGGUAAUACGUAGGGGGCACGCGUUAUCCGGAUUUACUGGGUGUAAAGGGAGCGUAGACGGUUGUGCAAGUCUGAAGUGAAAGCCCGCGGCUCAACUGCGGAAC
Molecule: ribosomal RNA, 269 nt
Filed under: uncultured bacterium
Lineage: Bacteria
Description: partial 16S ribosomal RNA
Rfam family: Bacterial small subunit ribosomal RNA
Source: RNAcentral